RNAcentral lists this transfer RNA (73 nucleotides) under Myoviridae sp. ctTS62. Its description in RNAcentral is "tRNA-Met". It matches the Rfam family "tRNA". Rfam says of the family: Transfer RNA (tRNA) molecules are approximately 80 nucleotides in length. Their secondary structure includes four short double-helical elements and three loops (D, anti-codon, and T loops). The record is from RNAcentral. Lineage: Duplodnaviria; Heunggongvirae; Uroviricota; Caudoviricetes.
GGUUACUUAGCUCAAUUGGUAGAGCGAUUCUUUCAUAGGGAAUUUGUUAUAAGUUCGAGUCUUAUAGUAACCA